Molecule: ribosomal RNA, 3014 nt
Filed under: Brachyspira pilosicoli P43/6/78
Lineage: Bacteria; Pseudomonadati; Spirochaetota; Spirochaetia; Brachyspirales; Brachyspiraceae
Description: bacterial LSU rRNA
Rfam family: Bacterial large subunit ribosomal RNA
Source: RNAcentral
AUAUGGUCAAGUAAGUAAGGGCUUAAGGUGGAUGCCUAGGCACUGGAAGGCGAUGAAGGUCGUGACAAGCUGCGAUAAGCUACGGGGAGAAGCAAAUAUUCUAUGAUCCGUAGAUCACCGAAUGGGAAAACCUAUAGAAGUAAACCUUCUAUAUUAUACACUGAAUCCAUAGGUGUAUAAGGCAACACCCAGGGAACUGAAACAUCUAAGUACCUGGAGGAAGAGUAAUCAAAAUUGAGAUUCCCUCAGUAGUGGCGAGCGAAAGGGGAAGAGCCUAAACCGUAAUAAUGUCAAGUUGUAAGGCGUUGUUAUUGCGGUGUUGUAGGGCGGCGAGUGGUAUACUUACAUACAUCGACUUUGCUAUAUAUGAUAGUGGAACUGUUUUGGAAAAGCAGGCCAUAGUGGGUGAUAGCCCUGUACACGAAAUCAUAUAUACAAGGUUUUGUCGUUCCUGAGUAGGGCGGGGCACGUGAAACCCUGUUUGAAUCUGGGUAGACCACUAUCCAAGGCAAAAUACUAACCAGUGACCAAUAGUGUAGAGUACCGUGAGGGAAAGGUGAAAAGUCUCCCGUUGAGGGUUAUUAAAUAGAACCUGAAACCUUAAGCUUACAAGUAGUCAGAGGGAACCCUGCUAGCAAUAGUAGAAGGCCUGAUGGCGUGCCUUUUGUAGAAUGAGCCUGCGACUUAUAGUAUGUAGCAAGAUUAAGAGGUAAUAGCCUUGUAGUCGUAGUGAAAGCGAGCCUUAAUAGGGCGAAAUUAGUUGCAUGCUAUACGACCCGAAGCCAAGUGAUCUACCUAUGAGCAGCGCGAAACUCGAGUAACAUUGAGUGGAGGUGCGAACCAGUGGCCGUGAAAAGGCUUUGGAUGACUUGUGGGUAGGAGUGAAAGGCUAAUCAAACUUGGAGAUAGCUGGUUCUCUCCGAAAUGUCUUUAGGGGCAGCGUUAUGUGUUUACUUGCGGGGGUAGAGCACUAAAUGGACUAGGGCUCCUAACCGAGUACCAAACCCAACUAAACUCCGAAUACCGUAAGUUAAGAGCAUGGCAGUUAGACAGCGGCGGAUAAGCGUCAUUGUCAAAAGGGAAACAGCCCAGAUCCUCAGCUAAGGUCCCAAAAUCUAUGUUAAGUGGGAAAGGAUGUGAGAAUACUUAAACAGCCAGGAGGUUGGCUUAGAAGCAGCCAUUCCUUUAAAGAGUGCGUAACAGCUCACUGGUCGAGUGUUUUUGCGCCGAAAAUGUAACGGGGCUCAAACAUAGUACCGAAGCUAGGGAAUUAUAGAGUUAAUCUAUGAUUGGUAGGAGAGCGUUCUUUAAGCCGUUGAAGGUGUAUCGUAAGGUAUGCUGGAGGUAUAAGAAGUGAGGAUGCAGGCAUGAGUAACGAGAAAACGGGUGCGAAACCCGUUCGCCGCAAACCCAAGGUUUCCUAGGUAAAGCUAAUCUGCCUAGGGUUAGUCGACCCCUAAGAUGAGGCUGAAAAGCGUAGUCGAUGGGAAACAGGUAAAUAUUCCUGUACUAUAGUAUGUUUCGAUGGAAUGACACAGAUUGUUUGCGUACGCGAGGUGAUGGUUAUCCUCGUCGAAUAGCCGAGACUUGUGGUGAGUAAAAUGCUUGCUGCUUUAAGGUUGAGGUGGAUAGUGACUGGGCUUUCGGGUUCAGGAAGUUGCGUGAAUUAGGCUGUCUAGAAAUAAUUCCUAAGGUUAGGCAUAUUAUAAUCGUACCGCAAACCGACACAGGUGGGUGAGAUGAGUAUUCUAAGGCGCUCGAGAUAAUCUUCCCUAAGGAACUCUGCAAAUUAGUCUUGUAACUUCGGAAAAAGAGACGCUUGAAUCUCGGUAGCAAUAUCGGGAGGAGAGUCGCAGUGAAAAGGCCUGGCCGACUGUUUAACAAAAACACAGAUCUCUGCAAACAUGUAAAUGGAUGUAUAGGGAUUGACACCUGCCCAGUGCUGGAAGGUUAAAAGGAGAGGUUAGCGUAAGCGAAGCUUCGAAUUGAAGCCCCAGUAAACGGCGGCCGUAACUAUGACGGUCCUAAGGUAGCGAAAUUCCUUGUCGGGUAAGUUCCGACCUGCACGAAUGGUGUAACGAUCCGGGCACUGUCUCGGGGAAGAACUCGGUGAAAUUGAAUUAUCAGUGAAGAUGCUGAUUACCCGCAACAGGACGGAAAGACCCCGUGAACCUUUACUAUAACUUGACAUUGAGUUUUGUUUUGUGAUGUGUAGAAUAGAUGGGAGGCUUUGAAGUGGGAGCGCCAGCUUUCAUGGAGCCAUCGUUGAAAUACCAUCCUUCGCAAAAUGGGAUUCUAACGAUUAGCCGUUAUCCGGCAGUCGGACAUUGUCAGGCGGGUAGUUUGACUGGGGCGGUCGCCUCCUAAAGAGUAACGGAGGCGUGCAAAGGUCACCUCAAACCGAAUAGAAAUCGGUAGUAGAGUAUAAAGGCAUAAGGUGGCUUAACUGCGAGAGAGACAUCUCGAGCAGGUGCGAAAGCAGGUCUUAGUGAUCCGGUGGUCCCGAGUGGAAGGGCCAUCGCUAAACGGACAAAAGGUACUCCGGGGAUAACAGGCUUAUCUCCCCCAAGAGUUCAUAUCGACGGGGAGGUUUGGCACCUCGAUGUCGGCUCAUCGCAUCCUGGGGCUGGAGCAGGUCCCAAGGGUUUGGCUGUUCGCCAAUUAAAGCGGUACGCGAGCUGGGUUCAGAACGUCGUGAGACAGUUUGGUCCCUAUCCGUUGCGGGCGUUGGAAAAUUGAGAAGAGUCAUUUUUAGUACGAGAGGACCGAAAUGAACGCACCUCUGGUGUAUCUGUUGUUCUGCCAAGGGCAUCGCAGAGUAGCUAUGUGCGGACGGGAUAACCGCUGAAAGCAUCUAAGUGGGAAGCCUCCUUCAAGAUUAAUUUUCCCUAUGAGUUUCGUUGGAGACUACGACGUUGAUAGACUGCAAGUGUAAGCAGGGAAGAAAUACCUGUUCAGCUGAGCAGCACUAAUCAGACCAAUGGCUUGACCAUAUUAUCGUUUUCUUCUUACAA